RNAcentral lists this ribosomal RNA (500 nucleotides) under uncultured bacterium. Its description in RNAcentral is "bacterial SSU rRNA". It matches the Rfam family "Bacterial small subunit ribosomal RNA", at positions 791 to 1296 of the family's 1533-position model. The record is from RNAcentral.
UAGUCCACGCCGUAAACGAUCAUCACUCGCUGUUGGCGAUAUACUGUCAGCGGCCAAGCGAAAGUAUUAAGUGAUGCACCUGGGGAGUACGCCGGCAACGGUGAAACUCAAAGGAAUUGACGGGGGCCCGCACAAGCGGUGGAGCAUGUGGUUUAAUUCGAUGAUACGCGAGGAACCUUACCAGGGCUUAAAUGCAGAACGACCGGCGUGGAAACAUGCCUUUCUUCGGACGGACUGCAAGGUGCUGCAUGGUCGUCGUCAGCUCGUGCCGUGAGGUGUCGGGUUAAGUCCCAUAACGAGCGCAACCCCUAUCUUUAGUUGCCAGCGGAUAAUGCCGGGGACUCUAGAGAAACUGCCAGCGUAAGCUGUGAGGAAGGUGGGGAUGACGUCAGAUCAUCACGGCCCUUACGUCCUGGGCUACACACGUGCUACAAUGGCUAGGACAGACGGCUGCAAACCAGCGAUGGGGAGCUAAUCCGACAAACCUAGUCGUAGUCCGG